CAAAACGCAUCCCCAAUUUGUUUUCCCGGAAAAUCCCAGCAGCUUCUAGACACCCUGACGCCUUCUCUCUCUGUGGACUACAUCCCAAAUCUCCGUAGAUGUCAACCUCGGGGCAGCCUCAAUUUCGAUACACGCAAACCCCAUCAAAGGUUUUGCAUCUGCGGAAUCUUCCGUGGGAAUGCACGGAGGAGGAGCUAAUUGAGCUCUGUAAACCGUUCGGAAAAAUUGUCAACACUAAGUGCAAUGUCGGCGCCAAUCGGAAUCAAGCUUUUGUCGAAUUUGCAGACCUAAAUCAGGCAAUUCAAAUGGUUUCAUACUAUGCAUCAUCAUCUGAGCCUGCACAGGUUCGUGGUAAGACGGUGUAUAUUCAAUACUCAAACAGGCAUGAAAUUGUCAACAACAAAAGUCCAGGUGAUGUUCCUGGAAAUGUUUUGCUGGUAACAAUCGAGGGUGUUGAAGCUGGUGAUGUGAGCAUUGAUGUCAUUCACUUGGUAUUUUCUGCUUUUGGCUUUGUGCACAAAAUUGCUACUUUUGAAAAGGCUGCUGGUUUCCAGGCACUUAUUCAAUUCACUGAUGCGGAGACUGCAUCUACUGCAAGGGUUGCCUUGGAUGGAAGAAGUAUACCGAGGUACUUGCUUCCGGAGCAUGUUGGUUCAUGUCACCUGCGCAUAUCCUAUUCUGC
This 682-nucleotide unclassified non-coding RNA is filed under the name Hevea brasiliensis (rubber tree). The record is from RNAcentral. Lineage: Eukaryota; Viridiplantae; Streptophyta; Magnoliopsida; Malpighiales; Euphorbiaceae.